Molecule: long non-coding RNA, 445 nt
Organism: Magnolia sinica
Lineage: Eukaryota; Viridiplantae; Streptophyta; Magnoliopsida; Magnoliales; Magnoliaceae
Exons: 3
Source: RefSeq, a predicted model, not a curated record
GAAAGCCUGCUAAACAAUGCAAGAAAAAAAGAGGAAAGAAACUGUUAAUAAAAACCCACUUAACUUCCACUAACGAGCUCAACAAUGUAUAUCUAUCCCAAGAAAAUACGAGCAGGACUACAUCUCCAACUCAUCUAUGAAAGGCUGAAAACCAAUCACCACCAUUAAGGGCCUGCAAUUCUAUAGACAGCAACUCAUUUAUUCCUGCAGCAACCUGCUACAGCCUACAGCCAGGCAAAGGUGAUAGAGUAAGAUAUGUGGGUCCACUACAUUCAUCUGGAUUUCCUCCUCUUCAUGCUUCUCAAAGAAGCCUCUCAAGAAGGAAGCAAAGAAAGCAACAGCUGCUCCUAGGGCAUCUUCUUCUAAGAGGAAAUCUAAGGAUGGAGAUGAAAAUGGUUCAAAGAAGAGAGAACCAAAGAAGAAAAAGUAUCCUAAUGCACCAAAG